Molecule: unclassified non-coding RNA, 21 nt
Filed under: Mus musculus (house mouse)
Lineage: Eukaryota; Metazoa; Chordata; Mammalia; Rodentia; Muridae
Description: oocyte_clustered_small_RNA14337
Source: RNAcentral
CUCGCUGAUGCACUCUCCCUC